UGUAGUUUUUGCACUAAAUGGUUCCUGA
RNAcentral lists this non-coding RNA (28 nucleotides) under Rattus norvegicus (Norway rat). Lineage: Eukaryota; Metazoa; Chordata; Mammalia; Rodentia; Muridae. The record is from RNAcentral.